This 253-nucleotide ribosomal RNA is filed under the name uncultured bacterium. Its description in RNAcentral is "partial 16S ribosomal RNA". It matches the Rfam family "Bacterial small subunit ribosomal RNA", at positions 524 to 776 of the family's 1533-position model. The record is from RNAcentral.
UACAGAGGGGGCAAGCGUUGUUCGGAAUUACUGGGCGUAAAGGGCGCGUAGGCGGCCUGCUAAGUCGAACGUGAAAUCCCCGGGCUCAACCCGGGAACUGCGUCCGAUACUGGUAGGCUUGAAUUCGGGAGAGGGAUGCGGAAUUCCAGGUGUAGCGGUGAAAUGCGUAGAUAUCUGGAGGAACACCGGUGGCGAAGGCGGCAUCCUGGACCGACAUUGACGCUGAGGCGCGAAAGCCAGAGGAGCAAACGGG